UAGUUCAGUUGGUAAAGAAUCUGCCUGCAGUGCAGGAGACCCAGGUUCGAUUCCUGG
Molecule: transfer RNA, 57 nt
Filed under: Ovis aries (sheep)
Lineage: Eukaryota; Metazoa; Chordata; Mammalia; Artiodactyla; Bovidae
Rfam family: tRNA
About the family: Transfer RNA (tRNA) molecules are approximately 80 nucleotides in length. Their secondary structure includes four short double-helical elements and three loops (D, anti-codon, and T loops).
Source: Rfam by way of RNAcentral